RNAcentral lists this long non-coding RNA (1274 nucleotides) under Triticum aestivum (bread wheat). RNAcentral's name for it is "long non-coding RNA (TAES_LNC020817)". The record is from RNAcentral. Lineage: Eukaryota; Viridiplantae; Streptophyta; Magnoliopsida; Poales; Poaceae.
CCGCGGCCGGCGACGCUGUCCCGCUCCUGGAUUGUCUUCCUCCUAGACCAGGUUAUUCACUGGUUCCUCUCCUCUGCCUUCACGAGUACUAUUAAUUAGAACAAUAUUUUGCAGCUUAGCUAUGAUAAUUAUGAGCCUUUUUAUGUAGCACAGCUAAAAUUCAGUCAAUUUUCCGAUUUUGUUACUACUCCAUGCGUGUACAAAAUCCAUGAGUAUACAGUUUGUAGAGCAGAGGAUAUAGUAUAUCAGUAGGUUUUAUGACUAGAAUUAUUUUGUAAGACUUUUGAUUUGUUCCGGCUAAUAACCGCUUUAGAACAGAGGAGUCAUCUACUAAUUUUCAUAUAAAGAUCCUACUCCGUAUAAGAUAGUUGGAGUGAGUGUUUAUACAGCAGAGAAAUUAGGCCAUGGUAGAAACAGAAACGCUAGCCCCGGACAUAAUUUACCUGUCAGUGUUGGUAUUGAUUUGUCCACCCUCAAACGACUUCGACCACCAGAUCCUAGCUUCCCUGUACUGUAGAACUUGCACAGUGACGGGAAACAGGUGGCCAUUUAUUCAUGCUAAUUAACCCGCAAGAUGCGUGGAUGGAUGCAGGUGUUCACGUACCUGAUCCUGGCGGCCGGCGCGGCGUCGGCAGAGCUGCUCUACCUGGCGUACAACGGCGACAAGGAGGUGACGUGGAGCGAGGCGUGCGGCGUGUUCGGCGGCUUCUGCAGGCAGGCCCGAACGUCGGUGGCCAUCACCUUCGGCUCCGUCGUCUGCUACAUCCUCCUCUCCCUCAUCUCGUCCUACCGCCUCUUCAGCGCCUACGACGCACCCAUGCCCUCGCUCGGCAACAAGGGCGUCGAGAUCGCUGCCUUCCCGCGCUGAGCCGAGAGGAUCCCUGGCUGCUCUGGCUUGGCUACUCGAUGACGGGUCAAAACUCAAAACACGUACGUACGUAGUAGUAUCGCUGUGUGUGUAGGCGAACGAAAUAAUCUGUAAGGGCUCAUAGUUAAUUUCAAGCUACAUAUAGUGCAUCUGCCUCUCUUCUUUUUACUUGAUUCUAUAUACACUGUACUAGCUUUGAAUCUUCUGCUGUGAGGCUGUGGUGGAUUAAUUGAUGCGUUCCAAAAAUGCGAACCUAGUUCCGUUGCAGGCACCCAGGUGAUCUAUGUAACUACGAUGAGCUUCCUCAUUUAAGGAGUUCAGUUGCUUGUAAGGUGCUUGAAGCAAAGCAAAAUCAAUACUCUUUCCGUUCACAAAUAUAAGAUAUAAGGUGUUCUAACUUUUUUAA